UUGAGCAAGAUGGAGAAGCAGGGCACGUGCAUUACUAACUCAUGCAAUUUGAUACAUAUAUGCAAGCAUAUAUGUUUUUAUGUCGAUAUGAACGCACAUAUAUAUAUACAUAUGGAUUCAGACUCCGAUGUUAUAUUAUAAAGAGCGGAAAUCUCUCUUUAGAUAAAUGAUCCUAUCGACUAUUUUAGUUGCUUUGAGUUAGUACUUUCAUGUGCCUGUCUUCCCCAUCAUGCCCAC
This 237-nucleotide microRNA precursor is filed under the name Beta vulgaris subsp. vulgaris (sugar beet). RNAcentral's name for it is "pre miRNA MIR164". It matches the Rfam family "MIR164 microRNA precursor family". Lineage: Eukaryota; Viridiplantae; Streptophyta; Magnoliopsida; Caryophyllales; Amaranthaceae. The record is from RNAcentral.